GUUAUACUUUCCACUAUCCCCCCUUUGCUCAUGUGACUCCUCCCAUGAGCAAUCUCAAUUAGUCCUUUCAUGUAAGCCGUGGGGAGACAGGGUUUGUUUAUCUCUGGGUGUACCCAUAUCCCGCCUAUGUUUGCACCCCCCUUUUUUCCAUUUCACAUAAUCUUGUGGAGUAGCUUGUUUUUGGAUAUCUUUGGUUGUUAUCCUGGUUCCAUUAUCUAUUUGUGCCACUUGUGUAUGGACUGGUUGUGUGGCUGUGAGUUGAGCUACUUUGUCUGCAUAAGCGUUUCCUCUCGACACAGGGUCCCCUGCUUUUGUGUGUGCUGCACAUUUUAUGAUGGCCACUUUCUUUGGUAGUUGGAUUGCUUCCAACAGUUCUGCUACUAGGCAAUGGUUCUUUAUCUUUGCUCCUGAGCUCAUUACGAUGUCUCCAAAUAGCCCCAAAGUCAUGUGCCACUCCCCACGCGUACCGGGAAUCGGUCCAGACGUUCACGGUCUUAUCUUGUGCUAGUUUACACGCCUGUAUGAGUGCAGCAAGUUCAGCUGCCUGCGCUGAGUAAUUAGAUGGGAGUGAUUCUGCUUUCACCACUUCUGUGUGUGACACAACAGCAUAUGCUGCUCGAUUAGUGCCUUGAGAGUCACGUUUAGCUGAACCGUCCACAAACAAUUCCAGGUCCGCAUUAAAUAUUGGUUCCUCCUUUAAAUCUAUUCUGGGAGAUGUUGCAAUUUCUAACACCUGUUGGCAGUCAUGGGGCUCUCCCUCCUCCCCUGUAGGCAAUAGAGUGGAGGGGUUUAGAGUUGUGCAUCGUUUCACAGUAACAUUUGGCAUGUCUAGUAAGGCAGUGUGGUAUCUAAGCCAUCGCUGAGUGGACAAAUGUGCCACCUUUUGAUCUUGCAGUAUUCUUGACACUGCAUGAGGCACAUAUAGGGUAAGCUUGGCGUAGCCUACUAUGUCUCUGGAAGCCACUAGUGCCUUCUCGGCGGCUGCCACAGCUCUUACACAUAAAGGCCGUAGGCACAUCUUCUGAAACCCCGGGCCAGGCAGAACACCACCACAUACUCUGACCUUCAUCAUUCAAAUGUGGAACAGUCUUACGUGCCAGUCAAGUAAGGUGAAAGGUCAAGGUGGUCUCAGUUGUUUCCUCAUCCAGAAGGAACAUGGAAUGGAAUUUCAAAACAAAUCUUCAGAAGUCAUUCUGCCAAAGGCUUCUAGGCGUGGUUGGAGCGACUGUCAUAUCGCCUGAUUCCUCAUCUCACUACAACACCCAGCAGGCAGUUCGUCACCCAACCCAGCACUCCACCAAUCCUGAACUUCACAUCAGAUCAUCAUCACCUGAAUACUGACUUCUCAGUGUAAAAUCCUUCAACUCCUGGACCUCAUUCCAGAUCUGAGAUCUGCUUCUCUUCAUCUCUGGCAUCAUCAACAUCUCCUUAUCCUCUGGACAUGUACCAAUUGCCAAGAAGCCAGCUCCACGAUCCCAAUCAGUCGGGCUGCAAACCAGCACAUUUGACAGAAACAGCUCUCAGAGCAGUGAAGGAGCCAAAACUCCCGGUGACUCCCCCAGGGCUCAGUGUUAGGUUUCAGAUGUAUCAAAGAAUGCUUGACUGACAUUUUGUC
This is a non-coding RNA of Electrophorus electricus (electric eel), 1615 nucleotides long. Lineage: Eukaryota; Metazoa; Chordata; Actinopteri; Gymnotiformes; Gymnotidae. The record is from RefSeq and is a predicted model, not a curated record.